This 329-nucleotide ribosomal RNA is filed under the name uncultured eukaryote. RNAcentral describes it as "partial 18S ribosomal RNA". It matches the Rfam family "Eukaryotic small subunit ribosomal RNA", at positions 1470 to 1796 of the family's 1831-position model. The record is from RNAcentral.
CCCUUAGAUGUUCUGGGCCGCACGCGCGCUACACUGAUACGUUCAACGAGUCCAAAACCUUGAUUGAUAGGUCUGGGUAAUCUUUUGAAGACGUAUCGUGCUAGGGAUAGAUUAUUGCAAUUAUUAAUCUUGAACGAGGAAUUCCUAGUAAACGCAAGUCAUCAGCUUGCAUUGAUUACGUCCCUGCCCUUUGUACACACCGCCCGUCGCACCUACCGAUUGAAUGACUCGGUGAAAAUUUGGGACUGUGAUUGAAAUUGCUUCAUUGCGAAUUUAAUUAUGGAAACUUUCUUUAACCUAGGCAUUUAGAGGAAGGUGAAGUCGUAACA